AGCAGCAAAAGAACGCGGGGUAAAGUCAGUAGCGUAAAAAAUAAUAAAUAGAAGUUAAUUCUCUUGCAAUUCAAUACAGAAGCAUCGUCUUCGUAUCCAAUUACCCUGUUGGUUACACUUCACCUCCACCAAUACAACUCUCCACUGCUGACUGAGGAGCUUCGCAACUGACACAUGUCCCCUUCGACACGUCAGCAGUACCAACUGCCUCUUUUCCCCUGCACAAGGACUGUUGGUGCUAAAUAUUGGUUGCAGCACUAUUCUCACCCCAGAACUGACAAUGAGGUGUUUAAAAAGCCAAUAAACACUGCUGCACCUACUUCACAUGCUACAUUUAUGCUGUCAAGUCACAUUAGUACUUUCUAUUUUUGACGGCGGCAGCGCGUAGCUCAUGAAGGAAGUCAUGUUACAUGGCUAUAAAUGUCCGACAUAGGUUGGAAGAGCCUGCAAGUACUACCCUGGUCUCCUAAUUUUCCAGACUUUAACCCAACUGAGCAUCUGUUGGUCGUUUUCGCUCUAUGGAUCCUGCCCCAUGCACCCUCCAGCAGUUGUGGGAUGCACUGCAGUCAGCAUGGCUCCAGAUACCUGUGACAACCUACCAGGACCUUAGUGAGUCACUCCCAUCCUGUCUAGCUGCUGUCUGUGCUGCAAACAGCAGUUACUCUGGAUAUUAGCUGGUGGUCAUAAUAAUUUGACUGUGUAUUUUAACAGUUAAUUUCUCCAUUGAUUUGCCUUAAUGCAAGCUUUGUUCUCUUCUUUGUAAAUCUUAGAAAUUAAUAUAAUUGUAUAGUGCUUAAAACAUUUAUUUACACUACUUUAAACAACUGUUUGCCUUUCCUCAAAAGGUUUAAGUAUGGUGGUCAUGUUACUGUUUCUUUUUUUCCCCCACACAGAUUACAACCAUUCAAGGUUAUAAAUAAUUUUGUGAGCCCAUCAAGGAAAUACAAAAUAAUGUCUGAUUGAAACACUUGAAAUGCUGGAUGUGGGAAAAAAAAUAGCCGCCAUGCCUGUCACUAAGUGUAAAUUUUUUUCUCACCCUAAUCACAGCAUAUAGGACAACAAAUUGAACAUUUGGAGCACAAUAUUUCUCAUUUAUAGACUAAUUUUUUUAAUAUAAAAAAAAACCUAAUUUGCAUAUUCUGUUUAAUGUUAGUGUUU
Trichomycterus rosablanca is the source of this 1158-nucleotide long non-coding RNA. RefSeq lists it as uncharacterized. The transcript has 4 exons. Lineage: Eukaryota; Metazoa; Chordata; Actinopteri; Siluriformes; Trichomycteridae. The record is from RefSeq and is a predicted model, not a curated record.